CUGAACUAGUCACUGGGACCACAAAGAUGAUACAGUCUCUUUUCUCAUAGAAUUACAACCUUCAUAAGGAUAGCAGAAAGAAAAAUGUUACAGAUUCAAGUUCAGCUGAGUCUUUACAUAAUACAUGAUGUUCUGUUGAUUAUUUUUAUUUUUUUGAUGCCACUAUUAACAGCAACCAGUAAACAUUAUUUCCCCUCAAGCAGACUGGCUUCUAAACCUAACCACUUAAGUUUCUUCUUCUCCCUCAUUACCUCACAGUCUUCAUUUUGAAUAUUAAGUUUGGGGAUAUCUGAAGUAAUUGAAAUUGAGGGUUUUAAGAUCUAAGUGAAAAGCUUUACUUGGGUCAAAAGGCAGAUUUCCAACAAAUUUCUUUUCUUAUUCCAUCUAGUAUCUGUACAUGUUUUGAAAUUAAGGGUAUAUACAAAUGUGAAUUAUGAGGGGUUUUUUUCUUUGUUGUGUUUUUUUUUUUUUUUUUUUACUUUUUCCUUUGAGACAUUCUAAAAUAUUGUUAGGUGAUCUAAAUAAUUUAUUUUCUUUUUUCCAGCGGGUCCAUAUGGAAUAUUUGCUGGUAGGGAUGCCUCCAGAGGACUGGCCACAUUUUGCCUAGAUAAAGAUGCACUUAGAGAUGAAUAUGAUGAUCUCUCAGAUUUGAAUGCAGUACAAAUGGAGAGUGUUCGAGAAUGGGAAAUGCAGUUUAAAGAAAAAUAUGAUUAUGUAGGCAGACUCCUAAAACCAGGAGAAGAACCAUCAGAAUAUACAGAUGAAGAAGAUACCAAGGAUCACAAUAAACAGGAUUGAACUUUGUAAACAACCAAAGUCAGGGGCCUUCAGAACUGCAAUUCUUACUCCCUUUCACAGACUGUCCGGAGUCUUUGGGUUUGAUUCACCUGCUGCGAAAAACAUUCAACAAAUUGUGUACAAGAUAAAUUAAUCUCACUAUGAAGAUUUGAAUAACUAGACAUUAUUUAUGCUGCCAAACUCAUUUGUUGCAGUUGUUUGUAAUGUCUAGUGGGGCUUCAUCAUCCUGAAAAGAAGGAGACAGGGAUUUUUUUAAAGAGCAAGAAAGUCACAAUAUUACUUCUUUCCUUCCUUUUUUCCUUCUUUCCUUUCUUCUUUCUCUUUCUUUCUUUUUAAAAUAUAUUGAAGACAACCAGAUAUGUAUUUGCUACUCAAGUGUACAGAUCUCCUCAAGAAACAUCAAGGGACUCCUGUGUCACAUACUGUGUUUUUAUUUUAACAUGGGUGAGGGAGGCGACCUGAUCAGGGGAGGUGGGGGUACACAUCAAUUUGAGUUGUUCAGGCUACUGAAACAUUAAAAUGUGAAUUCCCAAACUUUUCUUUUUGGCUUUGUCAGGGAAAAGAAAAAUAUCUUUAUAAAGAAAUCUUUGGAAAUUAGGAGAAGGAAUUUCAGGUGGGUUUAAGUCAGAGCUAGUUCCCCAACAGAAAGAUCAUUUGAAACCAGUUUUUAUCCCUUCUCUUUCCUUCCCUUUCCCUAAAUCAAAUCAAUAUUAAUUGUGCCUUAUUUCACUUAACAUAGACUUGAAUUAUUUUUAGGGAAAGCCCCUAUAAUGAAUUCAGAAAUCACUACAAGCAGCAUUAAGACUGAAGUUGGAAUAUUCUGUUGACCAUAAAACCUUGAUAUCAUUCUGUGUAUAUAGAAUGUAAAAGGAAUAUUACAGUGUUAACUGCCAUAUAUGUAAUAUACACAAACUCAAUUAGCAUUGUAAUGGCCAAAUGCAUUCCCCCAUGCUUUUCUGUUUUCAAAAAAAUUGAAAAACAAAUCAACUCUUAUCCCCAACAGCUGCCUAAUUUUAGGAGUCUGACCCUCCACAUCUCACUGGUGUGGGUGCAUGGGGCUGUGGAGUGGGUGUCAGUAUGGAUGUGUCUGAAUGUGUGAGGCCUUGGAAGGGACUCUUUCUGCAGAUACUGUAAAUACAAGUACCAUUUUAAUAAAGCAUGUACAAUAAACCAAAAUAAGCUUGAGUUGGACUUUAUAUACAGAACUGUAAGCCAGUGCAUUAUGAUACAGUUGUAAGAUUGUGCAUUUGAUUCAAGAUAAGGAAAAAUCUUGGAAAUGAAAAGCAGGCACUGGUUAACCAAGUUGUACACAUUGUACCACAUUCAGCAUAACUUUAGGAAGAAAUUCCACUUUGUGGAACAUUCUCCAGAAAUCCAAGAUUAUUCAGGUAAGAAUUGGUAUAUUAAAUGUACAUCUUUUUACUUUCUAUUUUGAUGCCAACUGAUUAUACUAGACAAUUAGCACUCCAGGUGGUUAUUGAACACAAAACAGUAAAAGAAUAUUGCACUGAUAGAUACUAAAUUAUUAUUUUAUUAGGUUGAAAAAGCCCUUACUAAAAGCCCCUCAUAUAUCAAUUACUUUAUUUCAUUAUGACUACUUAGGUUCCGGGCUGGGGACAAGUUCACUUAAAAAGGCAAUGUUAUUUAACAGGUCACCAGUUAAGACUUCUGCUUUGUAGAUACAUGCAGAAGCCAUCAAACAAGGGGGAGCUUUUAACUGCAACAAUAAGCUAAAGUAUGUAAAAUACUACAUUCUAUUCAGUCUUGGAGUGUUUUGUAGAAAGUUAUCUUCAGCCAAAUCUUUGCUGAAGACUGGUUGUGGAGUGUUGGUAAAUGCUUUGUGUUUUUAUGUAAAAUAUUUUCUAAACAAAAAAUGUUAAAAGUACAUGUCCUCUGUAGUAAACUGAUAUCUAUAUAUAUGAAUCAUUCAAGCCUAAAGUCUAGUAAUAAACUGUACUUGUGAAUAGAGAAACCCUAAAUAUUCAUGCAGAAAAAAUUAUGCGGUCUGUUAAGAAAAAUGAGUAAUUUGUGUUUUGGACUUGAAAUAAACAGUGUUCUGU
This 2858-nucleotide long non-coding RNA is filed under the name Homo sapiens (human). Its description in RNAcentral is "non-protein coding lnc-MFSD8-8:5". Lineage: Eukaryota; Metazoa; Chordata; Mammalia; Primates; Hominidae. The record is from RNAcentral.